UUUUCACCGCCAGAUGUCGAUGCUAUACAAGAGCUGUCGACGGCUAUCGAUUUGUCUUUUCUCGUCCACUUCAACCAUUUCUUCCCCACGUGCUACAGUAGUCGCCAUUAUCCUGCACAAACAAAGAUGUUGAAAUGGUCUCGUUAUCACGAAACCUUCUGUACUCAGGAAAAUGGACUGUUAUCUCAAUGGAAGUUUUCCUAAAGAAAAUGCUGCUGGGAAAUUCACCACAUUGGGAGACUAGAAAGUAGAAACCUGCUUGUGUGACCAGUAAAUCAAACAAUUCCACAGCUUGGUUUGGAAUGCUUCCCAUAAAAUUACAUGUGACAUUGUACCUGUAAACGACAUAACUUUGUAACUGAGGUUUCCUGAAUUAUGUGGUCCAUGCUUUGGAAGAUCUAUGUUGAUCUCAACCCAACAGGUGAUGUCCUACUUUGAACAACCAAAUAGUUCAUUACAUAAUGUGGCUUGAAUUUCAUUCAUUAUGUGAUUCUCAGACCAUUCCAUUGCUUGGCUUCAUUCAUGAGUGAAGAGCAUCUUCUGUGGUUGGUGAGAUAUCAAGCCAAGUUUGAAUGAUCUUUUUGCUCAAACAGAUUAAAUUUUCCACCAUCUUCUACUGAUGUAAUGUUUCUCUUUUGAAUGAUGCUGUCUACAAAGAUCCGAAGUAGCACCGUUGGGUCUACUCCUUUUCUACUAGGUGAAAGGAUCGUGCUGGGAUAUUUGGCAAUUUGAAAAUGGAUUACAAUACUUUUCAAUUUGAAAAUUGAAAUGUAAUUUUUAAUUUCUUUUCAAGGACAGAAUAUAAGUUUUUUAAAUGUCACUGGGUUAUACAACCUAUUUGGUGAGAUGUAAAAGUGUACUAGGCCUACGCAAAAGAUUUCCAGAGGAUUGGGUUUUACGUUAUGGUUAGAAAGAUCGUAAAACUAUAGUGGGAAAGGAACUAUUUUAUAACCUGCUAGGAUUUGUGCGUCUAGUCUGUCACUGCAGCAUCGUCACUGGAGAAGUCUCUGGGGUGUGGAGACUUCCAUAAUCUUUCUGUGGAUUGUAUUUUAGGAAAGUCUCGGCCCAACAUAGCUGUUAGGAAUGUUAAAUCUUCUGCAUAGUAUUUUGAAAAGACGAGGGACCCUACUUUGCAUUAACAUGGAACAGUCAUACAUGCAACGGCGGUUGAUUACAUAUAGAAGUGUGAGUCGAUUUAUGCUGCGUUUGAUAUACAAUUAGUAUAUACUU
Daphnia magna is the source of this 1230-nucleotide long non-coding RNA. RefSeq lists it as uncharacterized. Lineage: Eukaryota; Metazoa; Arthropoda; Branchiopoda; Diplostraca; Daphniidae. The transcript is spliced from 8 exons. The record is from RefSeq and is a predicted model, not a curated record.